RNAcentral lists this RNase P RNA (363 nucleotides) under Clostridiales bacterium. Its description in RNAcentral is "RNase P RNA component class A". It matches the Rfam family "Bacterial RNase P class A". Rfam says of the family: Ribonuclease P (RNase P) is a ubiquitous endoribonuclease, found in archaea, bacteria and eukarya as well as chloroplasts and mitochondria. Its best characterised activity is the generation of mature 5'-ends of tRNAs by cleaving the 5'-leader elements of precursor-tRNAs. The record is from RNAcentral. Lineage: Bacteria; Bacillati; Bacillota; Clostridia; Eubacteriales.
AUCAGUAGACAAACGAUUACGUGUACAAAAGGCAACUUUGUACAUGAGGAAAGUCCGAGCUCCAUAGAGCAGGGUGCCGGGUAACGCCCGGUGAAGGCAACUUCAAGGACAGUGCAACAGAAAUAUACCGCUUGUGUAAACAAGUAAGGAUGGAAAGGCGAGGUAAGAGCUCACCGGCAUUUUGGCAACUUAGUGCGACUAUGUAAACCCCACCCGGAGCAACAUCUGACAGUGAGCAAAAUUUGCUCGAUUGCAAAAUAAUACCUCUUUGCACUCACAAAAGGAUGGCAAGAGGUGAAUAGUAAUAUUCAUCCCAGAUAGAUGAUCGUUUUACAGAACUCGGCUUAUUGUUUACUGAUUUUU